AGCUGGUGUGGUUUAGUGCUUAUAGUGCUGGACUGGGACCUGAGAGACCAGGGUUCGAAUCCCCCACUCGGCUA
Non-coding RNA from Podarcis lilfordi (Lilford's wall lizard), 74 nucleotides. The record is from the annotation of a GenBank genome assembly. NCBI's taxonomy places the organism in Eukaryota, Metazoa, Chordata, Lepidosauria, Squamata, Lacertidae.